GUCGCAAGACUGAAACUCAAAGGAAUUGACGGGGACCCGCACAAGCAGUGGAGUAUGUGGUUUAAUUCGAAGCAACGCGAAGAACCUUACCAGGUCUUGACAUCCCUCUGACCGGUCUAGAGAUAGAUCUUUCCUUCGGGACAGAGGAGACAGGUGGUGCAUGGUUGUCGUCAGCUCGUGUCGUGAGAUGUUGGGUUAAGUCCCGCAACGAGCGCAACCCUUAUGCUUAGUUGCC
RNAcentral lists this ribosomal RNA (235 nucleotides) under Paenibacillus polymyxa. RNAcentral's name for it is "partial 16S ribosomal RNA". It matches the Rfam family "Bacterial small subunit ribosomal RNA", at positions 885 to 1119 of the family's 1533-position model. The record is from RNAcentral. RNAcentral also lists the same sequence under 1 other name. Lineage: Bacteria; Bacillati; Bacillota; Bacilli; Caryophanales; Paenibacillaceae.